This 305-nucleotide ribosomal RNA is filed under the name uncultured bacterium. RNAcentral describes it as "bacterial SSU rRNA". It matches the Rfam family "Bacterial small subunit ribosomal RNA", at positions 335 to 640 of the family's 1533-position model. The record is from RNAcentral.
GUGCCUACGGGGGGCAGCAGUGGGGAAUAUUGCACAAUGGGGGAAACCCUGAUGCAGCGACGCCGCGUGAGUGAAGAAGUAUUUCGGUACGUAAAGCUCUAUCAGCAGGGAAGAAAUAAAGUCCUUUGGACUUUGGACGGUACCUGAAAAAGAAGCUCCGGCUAAAUACGUGCCAGCAGCCGCGGUAAUACGUAUGGAGCAAGCGUUAUCCGGAUUUACUGGGUGUAAAGGGAGAGUAGGUGGCAGAGCAAGUCCGAAGUGAAAACCCAAAGCUCAACUAUGGGAAUGCUUUAGAAACUGCUCAG